AACGAACGCUGGCGGCAUGCCUAACACAUGCAAGUCGAACGAGACCUUCGGGUCUAGUGGCUCACGGGUGCGUAACGCGUUGGAACCUGCCCUUAGGUUCGGAAUAACUCCCCGAAAUGGGUGCUAAUACCGGAUUAUGUCUUCGGACCAAAGAUUUAUCGCCUUUGGAUGGGCCCGCGUUGGAUUAGCUAGUUGGUAUGGUAAAAGCCUACCAAGGCGACGAUCCAUAGCUGGUCUGAGAGGAUGAUCAGCCACACUGGGACUGAGACACGGCCCAGACUCCUACGGGAGGCAGCAGUGGGGAAUAUUGGACAAUGGGCGAAAGCCUGAUCCAGCAAUGCCGCGGGAGUGAUGAAGGCCGUAGGGUUGUAAAGCUAGUUUACCAGGGAUGAUAAUGACAGUACCGGGAGAAUAAGCUCCGGCUAACUCCGUG
RNAcentral lists this ribosomal RNA (433 nucleotides) under uncultured bacterium. Its description in RNAcentral is "partial 16S ribosomal RNA". It matches the Rfam family "Bacterial small subunit ribosomal RNA", at positions 29 to 507 of the family's 1533-position model. The record is from RNAcentral.